UUGGUCAUUUAGAGGAAGUAAAAGUCGUAACAAGGUCUCCGUUGGUGAACCAGCGGAGGGAUCAUUACCGAGUUUACAACUCCCAAACCCCUGUGAACAUACCUACAACGUUGCCUCGGCGGCUCCCCGCUUCCCCGUAAAACGGGAGCGGCCCGCCAGAGGACCCAACAAACUCUGUUAUUUUCAGUAUCUUCUGAGUAAAAACACAAUCAAUUAAAACUUUCAACAACGGAUCUCUUGGUUCUGGCAUCGAUGAAGAACGCAGCGAAAUGCGAUAAGUAAUGUGAAUUGCAGAAUUCAGUGAAUCAUCGAAUCUUUGAACGCACAUUGCGCCCGCCAGUACUCUGGCGGGCAUGCCUGUUCGAGCGUCAUUACAUCCCUCAAGCCCCAGCGGCUUGGUGUUGGGCUUCGGCCGUCCUCAGCGGCGGCCGUGCCCCAAAUACAGUGGCGGUCUCGCCCCCGGCUCCUCUGCGUAGUAGUAACAUCUCGCACUGGGACGGAGCGAAGGCCACGCCGUAAAACAACCCAACUUUCUGAAUGUUGACCUCGGAUCAGGUAGGAAUACCCGCUGAACUUAAGCAUAUCAAUAAGCGGAGGAA
Molecule: ribosomal RNA, 599 nt
Filed under: Fusarium delphinoides
Lineage: Eukaryota; Fungi; Ascomycota; Sordariomycetes; Hypocreales; Nectriaceae
Description: eukaryotic LSU rRNA
Rfam family: 5.8S ribosomal RNA (bases 218-371)
Source: RNAcentral